AGUGAACGCUGACGGUAGGCCUAACACAUGCAAGUCGAACGGCAGCACAGUAAGAGCUUGCUCUUACGGGUGGCGAGUGGCGGACGGGUGAGGAAUACAUCGGAAUCUACUUUUUCGUGGGGGAUAACGUAGGGAAACUUACGCUAAUACCGCAUACGACCUACGGGUGAAAGCAGGGGAUCUUCGGACCUUGCGCGAUUGAAUGAGCCGAUGUCGGAUUAGCUAGUUGGCGGGGUAAAGGCCCACCAAGGCGACGAUCCGUAGCUGGUCUGAGAGGAUGAUCAGCCACACUGGAACUGAGACACGGUCCAGACUCCUAAGGGAGGCAGCAGUGGGGAAUAUUGGACAAUGGGCGCAAGCCUGAUCCAGCCAUACCGCGUGGGUGAAGAAGGCCUUCGGGUUGUAAAGCCCUUUUGUUGGGAAAGAAAAGCAGCAGGUUAAUACCCCGCUGUUCUGACGGUACCCAAAGAUUAAGCACCGGCUAACUUCGUG
Molecule: ribosomal RNA, 492 nt
Filed under: uncultured bacterium
Lineage: Bacteria
Description: partial 16S ribosomal RNA
Rfam family: Bacterial small subunit ribosomal RNA
Source: RNAcentral